Molecule: ribosomal RNA, 654 nt
Filed under: uncultured archaeon
Lineage: Archaea
Description: bacterial SSU rRNA
Rfam family: Archaeal small subunit ribosomal RNA
Source: RNAcentral
GCCUAAAGCGUCCGUAGCCGGCUCUGUUAGUUUUCGGUUAAAUCCAUAUGCUCAACAUAUGGGCCGCCGGGAAUACUACAAAGCUAGGGAGUGGGAGAGGUAGACGGUACUCCGUAGGAAGGGGUAAAAUCCUUUGAUCUAUGGAUGACCACCAGUGGCGAAGGCGGUCUACCAGAACACGUUCGACGGUGAGGGAUGAAAGCUGGGGGAGCAAACCGGAUUAGAUACCCGGGUAGUCCCAGCUGUAAACUAUGCAAACUCAGUGAUGCAUUGGCUUGUGGCCAGUGCAGUGCCGCAGAGAAGUCGUUAAGUUUGCCGCCUGGGAAGUACGUACGCAAGUAUGAAACUUAAAGGAAUUGGCGGGGGAGCACCACAAGGGGUGAAGCCUGCGGUUCAAUUGGAGUCAACGCCAGAAAUCUUACCCGAAGAGACAGCAGGAUGAAGGUCAAGCUGAAGACUUUACCAGACAAGCUGAGAAGUGGUGCAUGGCCGUCGCCAGCUCGUGCCGUGAGGUGUCCUGUUAAGUCAGGUAACGAGCGAGAUCCUUGCCUCUAGUUGCUACCAUUACUCUCAGGAGUAGUGGGGCGAAUUAGCGGGACUGCCGUAGUUAAUACGGAGGAAGGAGAGGGCCACGGCAGGUCAGUAUGCCCCGAA